This 292-nucleotide ribosomal RNA is filed under the name uncultured bacterium. RNAcentral describes it as "partial 16S ribosomal RNA". It matches the Rfam family "Bacterial small subunit ribosomal RNA", at positions 505 to 796 of the family's 1533-position model. The record is from RNAcentral.
GUGUCAGCAGCCGCGGUAAUACAGAGGGUGCGAGCGUUGUCCGGAAUCACUGGGCGUAAAGGGCGCGUAGGUGGCGCUGCAAGUCGGUGGUGAAAGCUCGCCGCUUAACGGCGAGUCGGCCAUCGAAACUGCAGGGCUCGAGCACUGUAGGGGCUAAUGGAAUUCCGGGUGUAGCGGUGGAAUGCGUAGAGAUCCGGAAGAACACCAGUGGCGAAGGCGGUUAGCUGGGCAGUUGCUGACACUGAUGCGCGACAGCGUGGGGAGCAAACAGGAUUAGAUACCCUGGUAGUCC